GACGAACCGUCCAAACGUUAUUCGGAAUUACUGGGCUUAAAGGGUGCGUAGGCGGCCAUUUAAGUCAGCGGUGAAAUUUUGCAGCUUAACUGUAACAGUGCCGUUGAUACUGUUUGGCUAGGAUUUGGUUGUAGUGUGCGGAAUGUGUGGUGUAGCGGUGAAAUGCUUAGAUAUCACACAGAACACCGAUUGCGAAGGCAGCACACUAAGUCAUUAUUGACGCUGAGGCACGAAAGUGUGGGGAUCAAACAGGAUUAGAUA
Molecule: ribosomal RNA, 261 nt
Filed under: uncultured prokaryote
Description: partial 16S ribosomal RNA
Rfam family: Bacterial small subunit ribosomal RNA
Source: RNAcentral